AGUGAACGCUGGCGGUAGGCCUAACACACGCAAGUCGAACGGCAGCACAGUAAGAGCUUGCUCUUACGGGUGGCGAGUGGCGGACGGGUGAGGAGUACAUCGGAAUCUACUUUUUCGUGGGGGAUAACGUAGGGAAACUUACGCUAAUACCGCAUACGACCUACGGGUGAAAGCAGGGGAUCUUCGGACCUUGCGCGAUUGAAUGAGCCGAUGUCGGAUUAGCUAGUUGGCGGGGUAAAGGCCCACCAAGGCGACGAUCCGUAGCUGGUCUGAGAGGAUGAUCAGCCACACUGGAACUGAGACACGGUCCAGACUCCUACGGGAGGCAGCAGUGGGGAAUAUUGGACAAUGGGCGCAAGCCUGAUCCAGCCAUACCGCGUGGGUGAAGAAGGCCUUCGGGUUGUAAAGCCCUUUUGUUGGGAAAGAAAAGCAGCAGGUUAAUACCCCGCUGUUCUGACGGUACCCAAAGAAUAAGCACCGGCUAACUUCGUG
RNAcentral lists this ribosomal RNA (492 nucleotides) under uncultured bacterium. Its description in RNAcentral is "partial 16S ribosomal RNA". It matches the Rfam family "Bacterial small subunit ribosomal RNA", at positions 29 to 507 of the family's 1533-position model. The record is from RNAcentral.